UUCUUUAUGCAGCUUCUUCUUUGUGUUCUCUUUUUCCAUCCACUUAAAUCAGACAGUUUGUGAUAACCAAACAAAAGACACGAAGGAUGGGAUCCGUUUCACUGCGUCCAGCGUGGAAGGAGUGGUUGUAUGAUCUCAGGUGGACAGAAGCAGAACAAUGGUGAGAUGCUGCCACAAACAGGAUGCAAGGGGCCACACGUCAGAGGGGUAAACACCAGCUGCUGUCAUAUGUGGGAUUGUGCUUCCUCCCAGCCUGGACCCGACCCGGCCGGUCCAGACAGAAGCAGGUGACCUUCAGGUGACUUUCUGCUCCUCUGGACCGGCCGAACCAGCAGAGUGGAUGCAAAUAAUGACCCCUGAACACUUGCUCGUGAACGUCUAUGGCCCCCUGCGGUGCGUUAAUCCCUCUGAAGCCCUCAAUGGGAGUUCAGCCGGCCUGGUGGAGACGAGCCAGACGGUGAUGGGCCUGACAGCACCAACACAGCUGCCCCGCCGGCUCCGGGGUCAACGCUCAGGCGCUCUCUUGGCGCUCUUUCACACAUUUCUUGACCCCUCAGAGGAUGAAAAUCCUCAACUUGGCCCCGCGGUGGAGUUCUUCAGAAACCCAGCUCUGACGGUGAACAUGGUGUGCCGGUCAGUGAUCCGAAGGCAGCGGCUGGUGCAUGUGAAUCUGCUUCAUUAAAGGCAGGACCACACAAGACUGUUUUGCUGUAUUUCCAUAAACAUUUGAAAUAAAAGGAAACAUCAAUCAAAAGUUGGAGAUUAAAGUUUGAUUUUACACAAACAAAGGCUCAGAGCUGCUUAACCAGAGUCGUCACAGAGAGAAAAAAGGCCCUUUUGUUUUUCAGAUGUGGAAUUAGGAGCUGAGAAUUGUUGGACUCCUUCAGAUGGAUCACAUUCCAACAGAAUACAACAACAA
Molecule: long non-coding RNA, 919 nt
Organism: Gambusia affinis (western mosquitofish)
Lineage: Eukaryota; Metazoa; Chordata; Actinopteri; Cyprinodontiformes; Poeciliidae
Exons: 3
Source: RefSeq, a predicted model, not a curated record